This is a long non-coding RNA of Xiphophorus hellerii (green swordtail), 1509 nucleotides long. RefSeq lists it as uncharacterized. The record is from RefSeq and is a predicted model, not a curated record. The transcript is spliced from 2 exons. Lineage: Eukaryota; Metazoa; Chordata; Actinopteri; Cyprinodontiformes; Poeciliidae.
CAUCUCCAUCCCAGCGGUUCGUCAGCGUCGGCCCUCGAGACCCCCGGCUUCAAUAUCCCUCAGCAGCCACAGUGGUACCUGGGAUAAGGACUCCGGAGGCGCAGACGCCCUCUACGGCCAGCCGCUGCAGCCUGUCCUCCAACACCAGCUGUCCCUGGUCAACCCCGUCACUGGUCCUGCAGAUCCCGGCUCCACCGUCAAUGACUCAGCAUCGGCAUGGCUAAAGCAGAUUAAGCGCUCCCAUGCUGCGAAUCGUUCGUCCCAGAAUUCCUUGCAGACUCUUGGAUCGUAUAUCUGUAGUGCUGGAUCUGAGUCCUGAACCUUUUUCCCUGAAUCCCUGACCUAUGGGGCAAUGGGGAAGCGACCUGUUCUGGGAACGUCAUCAGACUGAGUCCCAGAUAUUCCUCUGUGGAGGACCUACCUAUCCAUCACUUUGUGCCGCGUGAACUUGCAGUGGUUUGAAGCCCUCUAGGCUGCCACCACCCCUUCCUCCUUAGUGGAUCCCUGCAGCCGGGGGCAGGCAGGGGGCCGCCUGGCUCAGAGACACCAGCUGAAACAAACCUGGGACAGACCCUGCCUCCUUCCCUAGAUCUCUUCAGGACUUGGACGGUAGCAUGAAGGGAAGAGCUGAGCCGGGGGCAGAGCAGCAUGAACUAACCGUGGGGGCUCUGGGUGGGGUGUCCUGAAGGUGGUCUGGAUUCGCUGCUAUGCUUCACCAGGCGCUUGUUUCUCUGGAGGCUUCAUGGCUCAUCGGUUUCUCUCUUUUAGCCUCCAUUCUCUCCUUCCAUCCAUCCACCUGUCCAGGUGAAGAGGCAGCGUACGCAGGGCGGACCGAACCCCCGGGGGUCCGGAGCCACUCUGCCAGUCAGGGGAGAGCCCCGCCUCUCAAAUUUAACAGUGAAAUCAUGAGGAAAAGUGCAAUUUUGUUGAUUAGUUGUUGGAUUAUUAAAUAUAUCUAAAUGUAUAUUUUUCUUGUAGUCCGCUCAGACCAGGGACUCUAAAACACUGGGCGACAAACCGACACGCAGCCUUGGGGAACACCAACCCAGUGAGAAACUACCAAACCGCGUCGUUCUUUGAUAAUCUGGUAGUUUGAUAUGAGAACGUCUGAAUCAGAGAUCAGUUUCUGAGCAAAGGACUGAUGUUCAUUCAGCUCAAAUAGAAACGAAUAACGAUUCCUUUAUUUAAAAUUUAUUCUACGUCAGGGAAACGAAAUGUCUCCUGAGGCCAAAUCACAACAAUUUAAGCUUGAAACGAAUCAGUUUGGCAAGAUAAUCUGCCUGGCAACGGGCUGCCAUUUGAUUGUCUGGGUCUUCCAGAGGCUCCAUCCAAUCACGAGCACUUCUUCCUCCAGCUGGCCAAUAGGCUGUGAGUGUGUCAUCAGGGGGCAUGGUUUAUUUAUGAGGACUUUAACUCUUCUUCAGUUUGGUUUUUCUUCCUUAUUCUAUAAAUAUCUAUAGACACACACAGACACACCCAACGUUAACAUGAGUUUAAGUGAAAAAGUCA